RNAcentral lists this ribosomal RNA (297 nucleotides) under Vibrio sp. SR2.1. RNAcentral describes it as "partial 16S ribosomal RNA". It matches the Rfam family "Bacterial small subunit ribosomal RNA", at positions 66 to 357 of the family's 1533-position model. Lineage: Bacteria; Pseudomonadati; Pseudomonadota; Gammaproteobacteria; Vibrionales; Vibrionaceae. The record is from RNAcentral.
GCACACAGAAGAACUUGGUUUCUCGGGUGGCGAGCGGCGGACGGGUGAGUAAUGCCUGGGAAAUUGCCCUGAUGUGGGGGAUAACCAUUGGAAACGAUGGCUAAUACCGCAUGAUNCCUNCGGCUCAAAGAGGGGGACCUUCGGGCCUCUCGCGUCAGGAUAUGCCCAGGUGGGAUUAGCUAGUUGGUGAGGUAAGGGCUCACCAAGGCGACGAUCCCUAGCUGGUCUGAGAGGAUGAUCAGCCACACUGGAACUGAGACACGGUCCAGACUCCUACGGGAGGCAGCAGUGGUCUGC